Molecule: ribosomal RNA, 253 nt
Filed under: uncultured bacterium
Lineage: Bacteria
Description: partial 16S ribosomal RNA
Rfam family: Bacterial small subunit ribosomal RNA
Source: RNAcentral
UACGUAGGGUGCGAGCGUUAAUCGGAAUUACUGGGCGUAAAGCGUGCGCAGGCGGUUCGUUGUGUCGGUGGUGAAAUCCCCGGGCUUAACCUGGGAACGGCAUUUGAAACUGGCAGGCUGGAGUGCGGCAGAGGGGGGUGGAAUUCCACGUGUAGCAGUGAAAUGCGUAGAGAUGUGGAGGAACACCGAUGGCGAAGGCAGCCCCCUGGGCCGACACUGACGCUCAGGCACGAAAGCGUGGGGAGCAAACAGG